This 79-nucleotide unclassified non-coding RNA is filed under the name Actinacidiphila bryophytorum. The record is from RNAcentral. Lineage: Bacteria; Bacillati; Actinomycetota; Actinomycetes; Kitasatosporales; Streptomycetaceae.
GGGAAGCUGGUGGAAUUCCAGCACGGUCGCGCCACUGUGACCCGCCGCCGCAACCGGCGUAACGGGGAGUCAGACAGCC